CGAGACACCUGUAGGACAAUAGGAUCCGUGAAUAAACCGUUUCUACGUUUCAUCGUGGAUAAAAGAAGAAGAAGAAGAGGCGGUGAUUAUUCUAUAGAAGAAAAUGGAUAAUUAUAUCGGGAUAUUAAAGCGCGGUUCCACGACCGUGCAAUUGUGGAUUGUGCAUCUAUCUGCGGUAUGUAAAAUGAGGAAGAGAGGCAGAGAAGAAGAAGAAUGGGUAACAAGAUAAUAUAUUCCCGAAGAGGGAAUCGGUGUAUACAACCUGGAUACAUCGCUUUUUAUUUAUCGUUCUUUAUUUUUAUUUUUAAUAAUAGCUUUUCCAUAAUUUAUCGUUUCAUAGAUCGUUGAGUAUAGUUCUCCGUUAAGAUAUUAAUUAUUCAUCAGCGAAACAGUAUAGUUAUAUAUCGUUCGGAAAGCAUAAUUUUGACUUGGACCCAUAAUUUUGUUUCGCGAUUAAAUCGUAAUUAAUUCGGGGAAGAUCGAUAGUUUCUGCACGAUAGUAUCAGCAACGAUCGCCAAAUUCCGUUUCUCACUUGCUGCGAAUCGCAACAGUUAUAUCGAAUAUAUACGAUGUAUCGCUAAUUGGUCAUUAAGAGGAGUACGAAACGACGCGAUUUUCAAACGUUGCUUGCUCGCAAUUAAACAUCGUUCUACUCGUCGAGCAUCGUGCCCCCGAUGUUUCCUCUUUGAUUCCAACAAAAACAUUACAAAGAUAUAUACAACAACGCAUAAAAUAAUCCAUCCACGGACGAAAUAAUAUUUUUCAAAAAUUUUCAUGACAAUUCCUCUUCUGACACGAUCUUAUUGCGAUCUUAUCGUUUAAUUGUACUCCAAAGCGGUCUAUUUGCAAUUUAGCUUUCAAGCAUCAUUAAACGAAUUAUAAAGA
Long non-coding RNA from Apis cerana (Asiatic honeybee), 886 nucleotides. RefSeq lists it as uncharacterized. Lineage: Eukaryota; Metazoa; Arthropoda; Insecta; Hymenoptera; Apidae. The record is from RefSeq and is a predicted model, not a curated record.